Molecule: long non-coding RNA, 5788 nt
Organism: Acanthaster planci (crown-of-thorns starfish)
Lineage: Eukaryota; Metazoa; Echinodermata; Asteroidea; Valvatida; Acanthasteridae
Gene: cuedc2
Source: RefSeq, a predicted model, not a curated record
UAGACAAUGGCUGUAACAUCACAGAUAAACAGGAAAGGAAAUGUCAUUUGAAGAGUUUCGUUUAGAAGGAGAAUGGACGAGGGAUUACGGAUAUGCUGGACAAGAAUGCACAUCACACCUGCGACAAUAGGAACUCUGAUGCGUCAAGGAAAAUGACAACCUCUGCAACAUUAUUUACAGAACAGGAAGCACAUUCAAAUUCACACUGGCCAAGCAAGUAAAGGAAACUACAAGGAAAUCUGUCACAGAGCACGUUCUUGGUGAAGGGUGAAGCUUCAGAGAAUUGCAUGGAGAUCUACCGGUACCUCACAGGGACGCUGAGUUGGAUUAAUGACGUCAGCUGUGAUACACUCGACCCGCUGGUCUCGUGUCAACUUCGUGACCAGAUUGGCACAACACCACUGACUACAACUUUAUCACAGAUUCCAACGGGGAUUGUGGCCAUGGCGCCUCAACACGUGACCCAUCAUCUUCACAGUUGACCCUGGAGCCUUGACAGACCAGAGUCGCGAGUGCUGUUACAGAUCAGCCAUGGUUCACUUCCCCGUUUGGGCUUGACCAUUGCCUUGCUGGUCACGUCGUCAUGCAGUUCCAAACGCGCCUUACGCUAGAGUACAUGCGGAGUGGUACGCCUCAUAAGAAGGUUAAGGAUGACGGUGGUGGGGUUCUAAUGACCUGCCAGUUGCAAGAUGUUGCGCUGAAAGAAACGAAUGUCCGUCUUGUACAACGUUUACAAAGCACUCAACUAAUGGGGGCUGAAUGUCUCUCUCUGUUACAGCCAUGAUACUUGGUAGGUAAAAAGACGAUUGGUCUUUAUUUUGAUUCGUGUUGAUAGCUCUGUGUCACAUUUAAAAAACCGAAUUCGUGAAAUGAAAAAUCCACGCUUUCCUACAUUUUUGCCCUUCUUUUCAAUCUAUUUUUUUCCAGAGAGAAGGAAAAUACAUGUUUACGCACGUGCUGCUGUGAAUUCAGCACGAUACAUGUGUCUUUGUGAAAUGAAAACUUUAGCUGACCUACAUGUACACUUCGGUCUUUUCAGUCAAUACGUUUUGUACGUGUACGAGGGACAUUUAGAUUAGUGGCUCUUUUUGAAAAAGCAAAAUGCACUUAUCGAGAUUUUGGCGCCUAACAACAUUACUGUUAUUUUGACAUGACAUUUUCAACAUUUGUGGCUCUUUGUGAAAGCGGUGACGUAUGUAAUUGCAUAGAAUGUGGCACGCUACGAUUAAGUGAGGGAUCUCUCUCUUUUUUUGUGGUAUGGUGGGGAUUCUUCGGGUGCUCAACCCGAGUCUGAUGGCCUAACAGCUAAUACGCUGUUGGUUGCGGGCCUGUAUUACACCUACAGAAAAAAGGAGUAUAAUAUAGCAUGUUAUGAAAUACCAAUUUUCGGAAUACGAGCCGCACCUUUUACGUUGAUUAUCAUGCUGUAAAAGUCUCUGCGGUUUAUACGCCAGGCGGCUUAUACGGUAAAGUUUGAAGGAUAAAAUCUGUCGCAAAAGCCGCGGCCGGGCAUCAUCUGAAAUAAAUUAAAAUUCGAGUUGUCUAGAUUCCGGACUUCCCAAGUCAUGGAGUCACGGAACACAUACAUGAAAUGUGUACUUUGCAAAAAUUUUUAGUGAUUAUUUUCCCGCUUUUAAUACAUUGCAGACAAAUAGUCAUAUUUUUUUAAAGUUGUAACCUAAAGAUUUCUUUUCUACCUUUAAAUAAAAAUCAAUUGCUUCAAUGGUGUACUUUUAUGAAGCCGAUUUUUUUUUUACUUGGGUUCUUGAUGACAACGAUUCUGUGGUCUCGCGGUUAUCGGAAAGAGUCAGCGAUUGGGCUUUUAAUGAAUGGAUCUGCGGCAGAAAAAGACCUAUUCGAUCUGUGAGGAAACAAACUGUUCUUUGUUUUACCUUACCUUGAAUCCAUCCACUAGAACUGAAACUUAAAUUUGUUCAGGGAAGUUUAGUUGCAUCCAAACAAGAUUUUAUCGUUUUAUCAAAUAGACUAGCAUAGGUGUGUAAACUGUUUAAGCUGGUAUAAUAGGUACAUGAAAUUGAUUUUUUUGGUUGUAAAUUACAGCAAGGCACUCUUUCCUUGAUCUCCUAAAAAAUUCAGAUGGUGUAAAACUGGAAGAGCAAUCAAAUCUGUAUAAAAAAAUGUUUGAUACUGUUCACACAUUCCUAAGACGAAUACUCUGGUGAAACCUUUGCUUCCAUGAAAGUCAUAAUAUAGGGGAAGAAAACAGCGUGUAAUUUCUGGCAGGCUGCAAUUUCAUGUGAAUCCACAGGGCAUGAAAGUGAAGCAAAAUGUGUUCCCUCAGUUUUUAGUGCCGAUAACUAACUUGGAUGCCGUAACAUUCUUUUGCUUGCAUCACGCAAGCGUAUCACACAAUGACGAAAUAGUCGAAGAAACAUUAAACAGUUGAUAUGCAGUGAAAGAACACUAUUUUUUUUUAUGUUUACUGUUACGCUUGAAAUCAUAAAUUGGAAUUGAAAAGGGUGCACAUUUCUCGUUUUUAACAGUCUUUGAUUGGUAAAAGAGGUUACGAUCAUAUUGGACCCAAAACUUGUGAUGUAUGUUAUACCAAUUUACCUUGUUAUGUAUAAGACCAUUAGGCUACAAUGAAGUUUGGAACUGAGCAACUUCCGAAGUAAAUGUAGUUGUCAAAUCUGUUUUAAAAAGUAAUGUAUGCUGCCUGAGUAUUUACCUGUUAAUUUCAUUCACAACAUAAAAAAGUAGCGGUGUAAUUUUUAAAUUACAUUUCACUAUUAUGCCACGCAGAAUGUUAAUGAUGGAAUUGAAACGAGACCCUCUGUGAGACUGGGGGCAUGUUCUGUGACAUUUUGACUCUUUGGAGGUUACAUAUGUAUGGGGGCCCUUUAGAGCUGUUAUUUAUACAUGUAUUGCACGUUGAACCUCUUUUCUUCUCCUCUCGUUUCCUCUAGAGCACAUGCACGUUUUUUUUAGUACAAUGCCUUUUAAGAAAAUUUGGUUAAAAGGGUAACAAGGAUGCAACACGACUUCCGUCAAUUGUUGUGAUACAUGAUUUAAAAAAAUACCAGUUUCUUCCAAAAGAUAUGGUACAGCACUAUACCUAACUACUGUUGGUGAAAUUGAAUGUAAAGUCUUAGUAAUCCCAGAAAUCCACUGGCAAUUCCAAGCAUAUCCUGCCGAUGGAUUUCAUGGAAUGGUUCAGAAACUUUACAACAUUUGAUGAGCGAAGCCAGGUUUUCUGAUAUUUAUUUGUGGGAAAAACUGGUGCUACGAAGGUUUUGCGAAACACAAAACUCUCCAACAGGUUUUGUCUACAAUGAGUAUUUCUUUAUAUGCAAUAUGAAGAAUUCAUUUACUGCGAGGGACACGUAUCCCUGUCCAGGACCAUGUCAAAAUGUCACAAAACAGUUAUGUAAUGGUAUCGCCCUAAUAUCCUGUGAGCGCAGUAGACUCCUCUCCCACAUUAGUGUGUGCAAUAAAAAGACGAACAUGGCGGCUCCGCGUCGUAGCACUAGAUGGUGCACUACUUUCAGGAAAUAGCACAAGACGUGAAAGGAAAUUUGUCUAAGGAGUGAUUCUUGGGGUAGGUGUUUCUUAACAGAUUCUCCCACAUUACCGCGGGGGAGGAUUUUUGAGCUGCCUUAAAUAAUACCAAUUAAGCACAAUUCGAGCGGACAGUGCGUCAGACUACUAAACUUCACGGAGGUUUUGAACUGAAUAACCUUUAACUUAGUUAUGUAUAAGACAUUUAGCCGUGAGUGAAGUCUUGAACUUGGAGUAGUGAGGACACAGGAGUCACAACUUUGUCACUUCAAAAUGCUGGAUGAUCGGGUUCAGACGAAUAGAAAACAUGAAAACGUCCAGUCGCUGCUUGUAGCUUAGUCAGACAAAUACCUGGUACGAAUUUGGCUUAGACUGGCCAAUAACAUGUUGACCACCACUGGAAAGCUAGGUUCAUAACAAACAAAAUGCGCAUCAAAAUUUUAUCACACGGAGUGAUCAUAAGAUCUCAUGUAAUACACUCUUGUAUAAAUGCCGUAAUGAAGAUGGUUCAAACCACGAAAUCUUAUAAACAACUUGGCUAUUUAUUCCCAAAAUGACCAGAAGAAAGCAUUCCUGAAGGGCAGUAAUUGAACAUGAAUAUUUAGGGCACAUAGCCUAACAUAAGCAGCUGCAGAAGCAUUAAAUUUGAUGUUAUGAGAUAAAACCAUGCACAAACAAAACAUGAAUAUUCAAUUUCCUUUACUUCAGUACACAAAGUUUGAAGGAUGUAAAUUACCAGGCAUGCCAGAAAGCGGUAACUGGCCAGGUGUUAUGACCUGGGUAGUUCAAACUCCUGUUUCUUUCCUCCAUGCUUGAACUGAGUAACUUUGGUAAGUGGUGGUCAAAUGUGUUAAAAAAAUAGCUUUCCGGAAACCUGAUCUUUUAAUUUCCUUCACAUUCGAAGGAACUGUAUUUAUUGUGCAGUUUAGUUUGGAUCUUGCGUCACUUGAUUUUUAGUUUAUUUGUUGUGUAUUUUUGAAAUUUGUGAUGUCAUGUUCUUAGAUGUAUCUGCGCAUACUUCAUUCAACUCGGUUGGUAUGAUGAAUGCACCAGAACAGAAAACGACUUUUCUGCUGAAGAUGAAAUUGAAUGCGUCCCCAAAAGUUUGGGCAUGUUUUGUGACAUUUCAAAACAUUUGCAGUUUAGGUACUAGGGGUCCUUAAGAAUUGUUAUUUAUACAUGUAUUGUAAGUUGUAACUCUUCUUAGUUUAAACUCUUAGAGUACGUUGACGUUUUUCACUACAUUGCCUUCAAGGAAAUUUACCAGCAAAAAUAUUAAGGAUGGAAUACCACUUCCGUGAUUGUAGUAGGUACACGAUGUAAAAAGCACUAGUUUCUCUAAAGGAGAGUAUAACCAACAAUUCCUAACUUCUGAGGAAAUUUAAUAUUGAGUCUUACUAAACAAGGAAACCCAGUGACCAUUCCAAGCUUGGCCUACCGACGGAUUUCAUGGACUUUAAAAUAUUUCCUCAUUUUAGUUUAACUGGGGAAGACAUGUUCUCUGAUAUUUUGGGGAGAAACUGGUGCUACCAUAUAAUAUAAAUAUUUUGCUAAACAUUAUCUCGAAGAGGUUGUGUCUACAUUAUAAGCUUUUCUUCAGUAUGUGGAAAACAUAAAAAUUGGUUUGAAGAGCAUUCAGUAUACUGCUACGGAUCCUGACACAGAAAUGUGUCAAAUUGUCGCAAAGUGGUUAUUUCAUAGCAUGACCUGAUAUCCUUCCAUCGAAUGUCUAUGGAACAUUUGUUAAAGCCAACGUAAAUUGUUUGGUGAACAGGGUAUCUUAAAAGGAAAUUUUAUCUCUUGGAUGUAACUAAUUGUUUUCGUAAAUGGUAACCAUUAUCUGUUUCAUUAUGAAGUCAUCUUUCAUAUGACACCAAGAAAUCCGAACUUCCGUCAUAAUAGAGGACUGAGCACAUAGUGGUGUAAUGGACUAUGGCAGAAAUGGCUUGGGCCACAUUGCUGUUUUGAUGUUGAAUUCAUACUGUCCAGAGAUGGCUUUUUUGAAAAUUACGUAAUGUUUGCAACGAGAAUAACAGCAGAAGUUUCCAUUGAAGGAAACAGGGACAAAGCCAUUUUUGACAGGGUCCAUUAACUACUUUGUGCUCAGUUGUGCAUGACGGCAAUUGUAAUUUCUUGGUGUCAUACGAAAGAGGACAUUAUACUGAAACAUAUGUACAAAAAUAGGUUUCGUGUUUAAGCCCCCUUUUAAAAGUUACUUGAUAAUUUUUUAAACACAUGUAAUAAACCUAUUAUGAAUUUUCAUGUGGUA